RNAcentral lists this small nuclear RNA (198 nucleotides) under Nicotiana sylvestris (wood tobacco). RNAcentral's name for it is "U2 spliceosomal RNA". It matches the Rfam family "U2 spliceosomal RNA". From Rfam's summary of the family: U2 is a small nuclear RNA (snRNA) component of the spliceosome (involved in pre-mRNA splicing). Complementary binding between U2 snRNA (in an area lying towards the 5' end but 3' to hairpin I) and the branchpoint sequence (BPS) of the intron results the bulging out of an unpaired adenosine, on the BPS, which initiates a nucleophilic attack at the intronic 5' splice site, thus starting the first of two transesterification reactions that mediate splicing. The record is from Rfam by way of RNAcentral. Lineage: Eukaryota; Viridiplantae; Streptophyta; Magnoliopsida; Solanales; Solanaceae.
AUACCUUUCUCGGCCUUUUGGCUAAGAUCAAGUGUAGUAUCUGUUCUUAUCAGUUUAAUAUCUGAUAUGUGAGUCAUUGACUCACACGAUAUUAACUUAAUUUUUUUAGGGGGAGGGUUCAUUAAGGUAGCUUGCUACCUGGACACCUUCGUGUGUCGUUUUGGUGUUGCACUACAACCAAAGCCUGGCGCACCCCAC